This 497-nucleotide ribosomal RNA is filed under the name uncultured bacterium. RNAcentral's name for it is "partial 16S ribosomal RNA". It matches the Rfam family "Bacterial small subunit ribosomal RNA", at positions 28 to 507 of the family's 1533-position model. The record is from RNAcentral.
GAUGAACGCUGGCGGCGUGCCUAAUACAUGCAAGUCGAGCGAACGGACGAGAAUCUUGCUUCUCUGAUGUUAGCUGCGGACGGGUGAGUAACACGUGGAUAACCUACCUAUAAGACUGGGAUAACUUCGGGAAACCGGAGCUAAUACCGUAUAAUAUUUUGAACCGCAUGGUUCAAAAGUGAAAGACGGUCUUGCUGUCACUUAUAGAUGGAUCCGCGCUGCAUUAGCUAGUUGGUAAGGUAACGGCUUACCAAGGCAACGAUGCAUAGCCGACCUGAGAGGGUGAUCGGCCACACUGGAACUGAGACACGGUCCGGACUCCUACGGGAGGCAGCAGUAGGGAAUCUUCCGCAAAGGGCGAAAGCCUGACGGAGAAACGCCGCGUGAGUGAUGAAGGUCUUCGGAUCGUAAAACUCUGUUAUUAGGGAAGAACAUAUGUGUAAGUAACUGUGCACAUCUUGACGGUACCUAAUCAGAAAGCCACGGCUAACUACGUG